This 497-nucleotide ribosomal RNA is filed under the name uncultured bacterium. RNAcentral describes it as "partial 16S ribosomal RNA". It matches the Rfam family "Bacterial small subunit ribosomal RNA", at positions 28 to 507 of the family's 1533-position model. The record is from RNAcentral.
GAUGAACGCUGGCGGCGUGCCUAAUACAUGCAAGUAGAACGCUGAAGGAAGGAGCUUGCUCUUUCCGGAUGAGUUGCGAACGGGUGAGUAACGCGUAGGUAACCUGCCUGGUAGCGGGGGAUAACUAUUGGAAACGAUAGCUAAUACCGCAUAACAGUAGAUGUUGCAUGAUAUCUACUUAAAAGGUGCAAUUGCACCACUACCAGAUGGACCUGCGUUGUAUUAGCUAGUUGGUGAGGUAACGGCUCACCAAGGCGAAGAGACAUAGCCGACCUGAGAGGGUGAUCGGCCACACUGGGACUGAGACAAGGCCCAGACUCCUACGGGAGGCAGCAGUAGGGAAUCUUCGGCAAUGGACGGAAGUCUGACCGAGCAACGCCGCGUGAGUGAAGAAGGUUUUCGGAUCGUAAAGCUCUGUUGUAAGAGAAGAACGGGUGUGAGAGUGGAAAGUUCACACUGUGACGGUAUCUUACCAGAAAGGGACGGCUAACUACGUG